This 129-nucleotide unclassified non-coding RNA is filed under the name Bacillus thuringiensis serovar israelensis. Its description in RNAcentral is "yybP-ykoY". The record is from RNAcentral. Lineage: Bacteria; Bacillati; Bacillota; Bacilli; Caryophanales; Bacillaceae.
CAUAUCUCCAAAGGGGAGUAGCGUCCAAGAAAAUUUCUUGGAAACAAAGUCGUCAUUACGUAGAACUUAGUUCUUCCGGCUUUGUUGGCAUUUUCAUUACAUAUGUCUAGCAAGACCUUUGCCUAUUAA